UGAGGGGUAGCUCAAGUGGUAGAGCGCAUGCUUAGCAUGCAUGAGGUCCUGGGUUCAAUCCCCAGUACCUCCU
Molecule: transfer RNA, 73 nt
Organism: Camelus ferus (Wild Bactrian camel)
Lineage: Eukaryota; Metazoa; Chordata; Mammalia; Artiodactyla; Camelidae
Rfam family: tRNA
About the family: Transfer RNA (tRNA) molecules are approximately 80 nucleotides in length.
Source: Rfam